This is a non-coding RNA of Pangasianodon gigas (Mekong giant catfish), 72 nucleotides long. Lineage: Eukaryota; Metazoa; Chordata; Actinopteri; Siluriformes; Pangasiidae. The record is from the annotation of a GenBank genome assembly.
UCCUUGGUGGACUAGUGGCUAGCAUGCGUUCCUCUCCUCGCCAAGGUCCGGGUUCGAUUCCCGAUCAUGGAA